AUUGAACGCUGGCGGCAUGCCUUACACAUGCAAGUCGAACGGCAGCACAGGUGCUUGCACCUGGUGGCGAGUGGCGAACGGGUGAGUAAUACAUCGGAACGUACCUUAUCGUGGGGGAUAACGCAGCGAAAGUUACGCUAAUACCGCAUACGGCCUGAGGGUGAAAGCAGGGGAUCGCAAGACCUUGCGUUAUACGAGCGGCCGAUGUCAGAUUAGCUAGUUGGUGAGGUAAAGGCUCACCAAGGCGACGAGCUGUAGCGGGUCUGAGAGGAUGAUCCGCCACACUGGGACUGAGACACGGCCCAGACUCCUACGGGAGGCAGCAGUGGGGAAUUUUGGACAAUGGGGGCAACCCUGAUCCAGCCAUGCCGCGUGAGUGAAGAAGGCCUUCGGGUUGUAAAGCUCUUUCGGCCGGGAAGAAAUCGCACAGGCUAAUACUCUGUGUGGAUGACGGUACCUAACCAGAAAGCCACGGCUAACUACGUGCCAGCAGCCGCAGUAA
Molecule: ribosomal RNA, 502 nt
Filed under: uncultured bacterium
Lineage: Bacteria
Description: partial 16S ribosomal RNA
Rfam family: Bacterial small subunit ribosomal RNA
Source: RNAcentral